This 249-nucleotide ribosomal RNA is filed under the name Cortinarius sp. 2 CRJH-2017. RNAcentral describes it as "partial 28S ribosomal RNA". It matches the Rfam family "Eukaryotic large subunit ribosomal RNA", at positions 104 to 344 of the family's 3401-position model. The record is from RNAcentral. Lineage: Eukaryota; Fungi; Basidiomycota; Agaricomycetes; Agaricales; Cortinariaceae.
AAAGCUCAAAUUUAAAAUCUGGCAGUUUCUUUAGCUGUCCGAGUUGUAAUCUAGAGAAGUGUUAUCCGCGCUGGACCGUGUACAAGUCUCCUGGAAUGGAGCAUCAUAGAGGGUGAGAAUCCCGUCUUUGACAUGGACUACCAGGGCUUUGUGAUGCGCUCUCAAAGAGUCGAGUUGUUUGGGAAUGCAGCUCAAAAUGGGUGGUAAAUUCCAUCUAAAGCUAAAUAUUGGCGAGAGACCGAUAGCGAA